Molecule: ribosomal RNA, 432 nt
Filed under: uncultured bacterium
Lineage: Bacteria
Description: partial 16S ribosomal RNA
Rfam family: Bacterial small subunit ribosomal RNA
Source: RNAcentral
AGCGAACGCUGGCGGCAGGCUUAACACAUGCAAGUCGAGCGGACCUUUCGGGGUCAGCGGCGGACGGGUGAGUAACGCGUGGGAACGUGCCUUCCGGUUCGGAAUAACCCUGGGAAACUAGGGCUAAUACCGGAUACGCCCUUAUGGGGAAAGGCUUACUGCCGGAAGAUCGGCCCGCGUCUGAUUAGCUAGUUGGUGGGGUAACGGCCUACCAAGGCGACGAUCAGUAGCUGGUCUGAGAGGAUGAUCAGCCACACUGGGACUGAGACACGGCCCAGACUCCUACGGGAGGCAGCAGUGGGGAAUAUUGGACAAUGGGCGCAAGCCUGAUCCAGCCAUGCCGCGUGAGUGAUGAAGGCCUUAGGGUUGUAAAGCUCUUUUAUCCGGGACGAUAAUGACGGUACCGGAGGAAUAAGCCCCGGCUAACUUCGU